UGUGAAGUUGCUUAUUAUUAUUUUUCCCAUACUUUGGAAAGAAAUUUAACCAUUUUUUCAGGUAUCAAAGGUUUAAUAGCUUGUUAAAUGUGCCUGAACGCAGCACAAGAAAAAUAAUGUAGUUAGUGUAGUAGUUGUUCAAGGGUUAAAGUCAGUAUUUAUCCUAUGUAAAAACAAUCUAUCACUCCAUACUCUAACAUCAUUCAUUUUAAUAUUUACACCUCAGCUUUUUCUACUAUGACAUGUGAAAAAGUUUAAGAUCAUUCCCUGCAAAUUACCCAAAUUACAGCUAGCAAGACAUCUAAUCAGCCAGUGUAAUUUAAAACACCUGUGUGUGUGUGUGUGUGUGUGUGUGUGUGUGUGUGUGUUCAGUCUUUAAUUUGCAAAGUAAUGCAGCUGUCAGAUAAAUGUUGUGGGGUGAGAGGCACAAAAUUUCCCCCCUGAAAUGUAUGGAAGUGGAAUAUAAAUCUGAAUGAAAUGGAAGUAAUGAAGUAAAUGAUUUUGAAAAAUAUACUUAAGCGUAAGGCUGGAGUAAAUGUAACUAACCCCUAACAUGUAACACAGGCAACAGGAUGUUAUCAUUAAGUUUGCAGCUGACUGCUCAGCAUUUAUCUCUUUCCUCGUGUUUUGGCAGUGUCAGGUGUGUCACAGCACUCUGGGUAAUAUGAAAGCUGGAGACAGCCUGUGGAUCUACAAACAGGCGGUCCACUGCGAGAACUGCUUUGAGGGCAUCAGAGAGAGAUGGCGACGCUGAGUUUCUCCAGAGCCUUCACUGAAGACGACAAGUGAUUCAAAAUCAAAUGGAUUGUGGUUUUUGAUAAGUUUUAGGUGACAUGGGUUCUCCUUUACUUGUGUUUUUAUGAGCUAACAUUCUGGGUGUUUUGACAAACAUUGCAUUAUAACUGUUUUCUCUGCACACACUGUUGCAGUUAGCUGUAAUGGUUUUGUUGACAUCAUGCUUUGCUCUCUGUAUCCACCUCUUUUCAUAUAACUAAGUUAGCACAUCUGAUAUUCUCUUAAGUUUGCAGCCUUUUAGGGGGAUUCUUGUGUGUAACGUGAAAUGGAGAUAUUAAUAUAAAAACAACAAUUACGACUUAGGGCCGGGGGCUUUUUCUGUGUGCAAUAAAGGCAAUCAACAUAUCUUAAACACCAAA
Molecule: non-coding RNA, 1154 nt
Organism: Plectropomus leopardus (leopard coralgrouper)
Lineage: Eukaryota; Metazoa; Chordata; Actinopteri; Perciformes; Serranidae
Source: RefSeq, a predicted model, not a curated record